AUGCACGCUGGCGGCGUGCCUAAUACAUGCCAGUCGCGCGAACAGACGAGGAGCUUGCUCCUCUGACGUUAGCGGCGGCCGGGUGAGUAACACGUGGAUAACCUACCUAUAAGACUGGGAUAACUUCGGGAAACCGGAGCUAAUACCGGAUAAUAUAUUGAACCGCAUGGUUCAAUAGUGAAAGACGGUUUUGCUGUCACUUAUAGAUGGAUCCGCGCCGCAUUAGCUAGUUGGUAAGGUAACGGCUUACCAAGGCAACGAUGCGUAGCCGACCUGAGAGGGUGAUCGGCCACACUGGAACUGAGCCACGGUCCAGACUCCUACGGGAGGCAGCAGUAGGGAAUCUUCCGCAAUGGGCGAAAGCCUGACGGAGCAACGCCGCGUGAGUGAUGAAGGUCUUCGGAUCGUAAAACUCUGUUAUUAGGGAAGAACAAAUGUGUAAGUAACUAUGCACGUCUUGACGGUACCUAAUCAGAAAGCCACGGCUAACUACGUG
RNAcentral lists this ribosomal RNA (496 nucleotides) under uncultured bacterium. Its description in RNAcentral is "partial 16S ribosomal RNA". It matches the Rfam family "Bacterial small subunit ribosomal RNA", at positions 29 to 507 of the family's 1533-position model. The record is from RNAcentral.